CCUACGGGAGGCAGCAGUGGGGAAUAUUGCACAAUGGGGGAAACCCUGAUGCAGCAACGCCGCGUGAGUGAAGAAGUAUUUCGGUAUGUAAAGCUCUAUCAGCAGGGAAGAAGAUGACGGUACCUGAUUAAGAAGCCCCGGCUAACUACGUGCCAGCAGCCGCGGUAAUACGUAGGGGGCAAGCGUUAUCCGGAUUUACUGGGUGUAAAGGGAGCGCAGACGGCAGUGCAAGUCUGGAGUGAAAGCCCGGGGCCCAACCCCGGAACUGCUCUGGAAACUGUGCGGCUAGAGUACUGGAGGGGCAGGCGGAAUUCCUAGUGUAGCGGUGAAAUGCGUAGAUAUUAGGAGGAACACCAGUGGCGAAGGCGGCCUGCUGGACAGUAACUGACGUUGAGGCUCGAAAGCGUGGGGAGCAAACAGGAUUAGAUACCCCAGUAGUC
Molecule: ribosomal RNA, 440 nt
Filed under: uncultured bacterium
Lineage: Bacteria
Description: partial 16S ribosomal RNA
Rfam family: Bacterial small subunit ribosomal RNA
Source: RNAcentral